GGGAUAGGGAGGAUAGUAGAGGAGAGAUAUGUACACAACCAGGACAGGGGUUACGGAGGAGAGGAGAGAUAUGGACACAACCAGGAAAGGGGUUAGGGUGGAGAGGAGAGAUAUGGACACAACCAGGACAGGGGAUAGGGUGGAGAGGAGAGAUAUGGACACAACCAGGACAGGGGAUAGGGAGGAGAGGAGAGGAGAGAUAUGGACACAACCAGGACAGGGGAUAGGGAGGAGAGGAGAGAUAUGGACACAACCAGGACAGGGGAUAGGGUGGAGAGGAGAGAUAUGGACACAACCAGGACAGGGGAUAGGGUGGAGAGGAGAGAUAUGGACACAACCAGGACAGGGGAUAGGGAGGAGAGGAGAGGAGAGAUAUGGACACAACCAGGACAGGGGAUAGGGAGGAGAGG
Oncorhynchus tshawytscha (Chinook salmon) is the source of this 410-nucleotide long non-coding RNA. The record is from Ensembl. NCBI's taxonomy places the organism in Eukaryota, Metazoa, Chordata, Actinopteri, Salmoniformes, Salmonidae.